GGGAAUAUUGCACAAUGGGGGGAACCCUGAUGCAGCGACGCCGCGUGAGUGAAGAAGUAUUUCGGUAUGUAAAGCUCUAUCAGCAGGGAAGAAAAUGACGGUACCUGAAUAAGAAGCCCCGGCUAACUACGUACCAGCAGCCGCGGUAAUACGUAGGGGGCAAGCGUUAUCCGGAUUUCCUGGGUGUAAAGGGAGCGUAGACGGUGCAGCAAGUCUGAUGUGAAAGGUCGGGGCCCAACCCCGGGACUGCAUUGGAAACUGUUGAACUGGAGUACAGGAGAGGUAAGCGGAAUUCCUAGUGUAGCGGUGAAAUGCGUAGAUAUUAGGAGGAACACCAGUGGCGAAGGCGGCUUACUGGACUGUAACUGACGUUGAGGCUCGAAAGCGUGGGGAGCAAACAGG
This 402-nucleotide ribosomal RNA is filed under the name uncultured bacterium. RNAcentral's name for it is "bacterial SSU rRNA". It matches the Rfam family "Bacterial small subunit ribosomal RNA", at positions 357 to 776 of the family's 1533-position model. The record is from RNAcentral.